Long non-coding RNA from Amphiprion ocellaris (clown anemonefish), 1075 nucleotides. Lineage: Eukaryota; Metazoa; Chordata; Actinopteri; Pomacentridae. The record is from Ensembl.
AGAGAGCAGUGAUUGGUCAGACCAUAGAUAAUAUAGAAGACAGCGCGCUAGCGGAUCUAGUCUGUGUUUAUCUAUGGUCGGCAGGUCUGGUAGCAUCUCUGACUGCUGUUGAUCUUGUUUUUGGAGUAAAACACGGUGGAAGCUGAAUUAGUGAGGAUGACUCCUGCUCCUGUCAUCUCUAAGCUCCUCACACAUCUUUACCUGCACAUGAGGAAAAUCACUCCUGUAGAAUGCAGAUGUUCAGAGGGAGAUGAUGCCACAUCUGGUCCAGCUGAUGGAAGGUCUUGAAGUUCUCUGACUGGCCUCGACUGAAGAUGGUCGUCUCACUGGAUUUAAGAUGCACAAUGAGGGACGUCUGCAGAGACUGAGAAAGAGUCUCACCACAUCCUGACAUGAGGAAAAAGACUUUAUUGAAGACUACAAUGAGAAAAACUAUCAGACAGCAGACGGCUGCAUUCAAGUUUAGGCUGUUAGAUUGUUCCAGAUAAGACAAGUACAAGAUUCUUCAGAGCCGUUCUACCACGAGCCUGACAGGAAGAACUCCAACAGCUACUGAAUGUUCCUGUGGUUCCCUCAAGGCUACAGGAGGAGCCCUACGAGGACGAGCCGGUCCACCUGAUGGUGGCCAGUCGCUGCGGUUCAAAGCCAACACCGACUACGUGGACUUCUACUGGACCACACGGAGGCCUUCAAACCGGACCAACAAGUUCAGCGACUCCCCGACUCGUGGGUCUGAGGACGCCGCCGAGCCUCGGUCCAGCCGGCCUCCUGUCUGUGGGUGUUUGAGUGCUGAGAGGUUUGUGGAUGCAUGUGAACGUUCUGUGUUGAAACAGCAGCUUUUGACUCAGUAACGCCAGGAAAAACUAAGAGCUCCUUUAUUUGUGACUUCCACUAAACAAACUGAUGAAAAUAAGUUUACCAGGAUUCUGACUGAUAACAGAUUAUUAAAUAAUGAAAAUAAUCAUUUAAAUAUUCCUUUAAACAAUCCUUUUAGGUCUACAUUUCCUUUACACUGACUUCUUGGUAUAUGUACAAGUAUUUUGGGUGGAAUAUACCAUUAAGCCUAAUGUUCAAG